This is a long non-coding RNA of Sapajus apella (tufted capuchin), 1055 nucleotides long. RefSeq lists it as uncharacterized. The transcript has 2 exons. The record is from RefSeq and is a predicted model, not a curated record. NCBI's taxonomy places the organism in Eukaryota, Metazoa, Chordata, Mammalia, Primates, Cebidae.
CAGGCGUUUCCUCGAUGACCGGUCUCCCCCAUCCUUGUUAUUAACCGGACACAAAAAAUGCAGGUUGUGAACCUCCCAGGACACGUUGGGCCAGCGGGUUUUGGUUUUUGAUGAAAUAGCAGAGAAUAGGAAGUAUCAGAGUACAAAGCACAUGGAAGUAACUAUUUGAGGGGAAACCUUUGUUUCGAUUUUAUGAAAUUGCAUGACACAUUUUCUUGCCUGUGUGUAAGCCGGAACUCAUGGUAAAAUACGUUUCUUACUGAGAGAAGCAGCUGAAAGCUGUUUGCAAGCCACUGUCCUCAAAGAAACCAUGGUCAGCCAGGAGUGGAGUCCUUCAGUUUCUCAGCCUCACACGCCUGGCGUUCUGGGUUCAAUAAUUCUUUUCUGCGGGGGCUACCCUGUGCCUUUGUAGGGCUAUUGGCAAGAGCAGCCCUGGCCUCUACCCAUGAAUGACCGAAAGGACACCCCCUUCCACCCAGUCACAACUGAAAAUAUCUCCAGACACUGGCAGAUGGCACUAGGGGGGCAACAUUGCCCCUGCCUGAGAAGUAUUGGUCCAGGGUGAAGUCAGCAUCCUCCUUGCCCUCGAAUAUUCUGCUACCAACUUGCCUAUACUUGAAAUUCUACUCAGCAAACGUGAGGGCCUACUGAUUACAGUAGGCCUGUUCUGAUUGGAAGGAAUGGAUGUGAAAUUGCUGGAAGGCAUUGGUACCAAAUGGGAGAAAGGGCCAACAGCCAUGGAUAAACGUUGCCAGUGACGGCCCCAGGUCGGGCCUGCUCCCUGUCCAUCAGGAAAGGGCAGGUCAGCAUCACAGUGGCCACACCUCUGUCAUCCCAGGGUGGCUUCGUCCUGAGAAAUACCAAAACACCUGACAGCAGGGUGCCCUCAUCUGGUGGCUGAGACCGAAUAGAAGCCUUUGGACCUUUGUCUUUAUACAACCCGCCACCAGCUUCCCCGAUGACCUACGUUGCAUUUGAAUGUUUAGCCAACCACGGCAGCGUGUGGAUCAUCUUUAAACCUGCAAGACUUGGGAGUUAGUAAAUGCCUGAUGGAA